This is an RNA transcript of Aegilops tauschii subsp. strangulata, 3689 nucleotides long. RefSeq lists it as uncharacterized. The record is from RefSeq and is a predicted model, not a curated record. Lineage: Eukaryota; Viridiplantae; Streptophyta; Magnoliopsida; Poales; Poaceae.
ACUGCAAACAGUCCACGGAACUGCGACAGUGGAAGCUCUUCAUCAUGAACAUAAUAGUAAAGGUACCACUGAUGGAGCGCCCACGGACGAGUAUGACCCGUGGGAACCUCCCCAUCCUCCUCCUCACCCCUCAUUAGCUGACUUGACGUGUCCUAUUCAACAUAUGAGGGAGUACAUGCUUCAACUGCAGCGUUUCCUUGCUGAUGCCAGAGCUACCAAUAUAAUCUCCCCCGACCGCACUCCCAAGGUUUUUUUAAUACUUGUUCAUUUAUAUGAUAGAUUGACUAUCGUCUGGCAUCUUACUAAUAUUCUCAAUAUUUUUUCUAGCUAUCCUGUAUGUUGCAACAUUAUAAAAGAAAUGUGGUUUUCAUCCCUCAACUAUUAUCUGAUUGUAACUUUCAACCCUAAAGUCGAAAACGUCUCGAAGUUGCUCCCUCAACUAUCAAUAAUGUGCAGCUUUCAUCAUUAAAGUGGUGUGGCGCCUACCUGUUGGCCACAUCACCCACCAGUUUCCGUCACGCUAUCAGUUCCCAUAAAAACAAUUUCAUAAAAUUGGUAAUAAUUUCAAGAGAUCUUUAAAAAGUUAGAAAACAAGAAAUGUUCUAGAGAAAAAAGUUCCCAAAAAUCACAUCUGUUUUUGUAUUAAAGAACUUCUAAAAGUGUAAACUGCAGAAAUAACUCAACUUCACGGAAAAAAAUACGAGGGAGACAUUUGUUUUCUCUUACAAUUUUUUUUGUUUUCUUAAUUUAGUUUUUUAGUUCAAAUGUUGUAAUGAACAUAAAGAAUAUCACACAGAAAAUUUGUGACAUGCUUGACAUAUGGUGGCGCUGUGACCUACAUAUGUAGGCGCCAUGUAAUUCGAAAUUGUUUUCGAAACCAUUAUGAGAGUUGCACGGUAUUGAACUAUUCAUAGUGGAGGGCUCAUAUUUGGGUGGUUUAAAAGUUUAGUGCUGAAAGCUACAUAUGUAAUAGUCGAGGGAUGAAAAAUUGCACUUUUUCCUAAUUUCAAUGGCAUAAAAUGCCUUUGUUAGUUGGAUAACUGAACUGAUUGCCUUUCAUUUUGUUUGUACAUGGAUUGGUCCAUCUAGGAAACGCUCGUGAAAUAUUAUGGCAUAUGUGAUCGUUUGUUGGCCGUCCUCCAAAAGGAUAGUGUUCCACGCUUCCUCCGCAUCUUUGAGAAGUACAGGGAGUGCUUGGUUUCUGGUUUUGUCAUCAUUCCACAAACCCUUGACUUAAUUAUUCUAGAGAAUGCCCUGCGUUGUGCUAAUCUUGUUUUGGAGGGCAAGUCGCCUAAGCUCUGCGGGGUACGUGCCAACCCCAACUACAUGACCAGCUUUGGGUACUUCCCCCUCCACCAAGCUGCAGAGUCAUUCUCCGUCGAAAUGGUUGAGUUACUGUUACGGUAUGGCGCAUCUGCCAAUCAGCGCACCUCGGGUAAUAAAAUCAUCGACGGCCUCCUCCCACUCCAUAUUGCCAUCGAGAACACUUGCCAGCAUAAGUAUCUAGAGGACAACCUAUUAGUUGACGAGAACUACAGGAAGGGGAAUGUUGGGUACAUCUACAAGCUCAUACAUCUGCUUUGCCUGCCUGAGAUGAAGAUCUUCUUGGAUACCACUAGAUUGCUUGCAGCUCACACCGAUAAUGUAGUCGAUGAGCUCUGGAAUUACAUCGAGCAUGGGAAGAUUGUCCCUGCAGCUAUUCUUCUCCUUGCAGCUCAAAGGCGAUUCCGUAAGCUCAAUGGUUUUGAUAUGAUCAAGAACCGUAUUGAUGAUUCUAUAUUCUCCCUGAUAAGGGAGGGGUGUGGAUUGCAAAUUGGUAAAAAUACCAAGGCAGCAAAGCAGUGGAAGGAGAAGGAAGUACGUUUCUAUAAUGUGUUGUUCCUUGUUAGGAUAAUUCUGAAAGCUGGUGAAGCUCUUGAUGCAUAUAUUCAAACUCAUUCAGAGGUACCACCUUUUCAUUUGAUGCAUAUAUUUGUUUUUUCUUGUUUUACCGAAUCUUAAUAUUCUAGUAUGUUAUGGUUUGGCUUUUGAACCUUAAAGUAUUGAUCAUAGUGAGAAAAUAUUGUAUAACAGUUCCCUUGCCGACCACAACGAAAAGAACAGAGUUUUUUCUUUUUGACUUGCAAGGCAGGUGAUCUGCCGAACAGAGUAUCUGGUUGUUUUUUCUUCUUGUUUUACCAAAUCGUCAUUGUCAUCAGACAUCUUUUUUUUUCUUGGAUUUUCUCUUUUAUGACAUCUUUAUAAUCAAUAUCUCCUGAAAAUGUGCAUUAUCAGUAUUUUCCUAAGUUAUAGUACUAAAUCGGUUAUUCGGGGGAAGCCAUAGAGACAACUAGUUCCAUAUUGUAGUUGGGUACUAUUUACUGAUUGAAAAAGGUUGUUGUUACUAUAAAUUUAUUUAUUUUGAGAUACUUGAUUGCUUGACCAUACCAAUCUUACCAAAUGUUGGUGUCACCAAAACUCAUGUGUGGCCAAUAGUCUGGCAUAAGAAGAGUGUUUGCUUGUCACUGCCCUGUAGCAAGUCUGGUCAAUGUCCAGUCACAUAAAUAACAACUGGCAUUAAUGUAAUUGCACCGCAGCAAUUAUCAACUAGCAUAAGUUUAUUGCGUAAGUUGAUAGACCGAUAAACUAAUACAAGAUAGUAGCAAGCAUGGCAUCGCAGGAAAAUAACCCAAUUAGUAAAAGCCAUUCUGAUGAUCAUCCCACUCCCCAACUCAUUGGAGCGCUCCUCAACCCAUUACUCUCUUCACCACCAUGAGCAUGAUAUGAAUGAUCAUCUUCAAAGUCACAAUCACCCACAUCUUCACCACGCACGGAGAUAUUUUGAUCCAACUCAACUACUUUUCAUGGGCAUCCAUGUCUAAGCAUCGACAUCACCAUGAGCUCAAACCCUGAAGAUUUAAUAAGAUUGCGGAUACAAGUGUACUGGUAUCUAUCUGUUAAGCACAUUUGAGAUCUGUAGUGGUAGACUGCUAGUCUAGUGUUUUAAGUCUUUGGCACUCCAGGCCAUUUGGGUUUAUGGGACAGGUUAGAACAUAGCACAUGAGUUGAGUACGAUUGGACACUUAUCAAGUAAAUUGAAACAAGUCAAACUUAAUUACCUUUGUUACUGGGUUUAUAGAAUAAUAUGCAGGCAUCUCAUCACGAGGUCCAUGGAAAAGUUUCAGCAGUUCUCAAAAGUUAUGACGUUGGUUCUCUCGGAAAAGAUAUUUGCAUUGAAGACCUUCAAUGCUUCCCCUAUGACUGUGGAGGGCCGGACGGUGUGUUACAUGAACACGGGGACACAGAUUUGACCAAGGCAGCCACUGGAUCACCUACUCCGGAAGUCAAGGAGAAAAAUGUAAGGAUAUUUGAACUUGAUUUCCUCUCGAUUUUUCUAUCUCUUAUUUUGCUGGAUGCUGAUUAUCGUUUUUUAUGAAUUUUGUGUUUUCUGUUUUAAUUUCUUUCUGAUGUGUACAUGCUGAGACUGAUAAAAAUGUUUUAAUAUUCAUUUGUAUGAUGAGAGUCACAUUCAAGUCUUCAGGCUAAAAUUUCACGGAUUAUCCCAUAUUUUAGUGUUGCGUGUACAAAUUCAAGAGUUCAUUGAUGGCUAGAGCUGAAACCCUUGUUUUAGUUUUUAUCUGGAUAACUGAUGUUGUGCAAAUGAUCUUAUAUUGUUGUUGGGUGGUAGGUGCGACAUAUGCCAACGGGUG